CUGACCCCUUUGCAAUGAAGGCUGACACUAUAGUAGUUUUUGUCUAGCUUCGUCCCUGGCCAUGGCGGCUGCGACCACGACCACAACUCCUGUAUUUUUGUAUUUUGGAGUGUCCCACGUUUUGUGUAAAUAGUCCCAAGUUUUCUUUUUGACUAUGUAAAAUAUUACCAAGUUAAUAUCAGAACCACUAUCCUAUACUGAACCAUACUGCCACAUUCAGCGUAUUUGACAUUGGUAGUUUGCUUACCACAUUCAGGCUACAUUUGAUUUCAUUUAAUCUCUAAAGCCUAGCUUAUUUUUGCUUACAACAGCUUCAGUAUAGACUUGAAUAGAUAUUUUUCCGGUCACUUUUUUAUGCCUGCUUUAAGUACCGCAUUUCUUCUGAAAUUGACUGAAAUUAUGAUAUUACUUACAGAAGGGCACGGUGAUGAAUUCAACGCAAGAUCCUGCUAAUAGCAGAUUGAGUACAUUACACGGCAACUUGAUAAUAAUAUUAUUGUUCACUUCAAUAGCUAGGGACGCGUCAGGUAAUGUGCACGCUUCAGAGGAAAGAGAUGAUGCACAUUACUCCUUUCUGCAAGGUACACAACAUCCUUAAUUCUUAAUGACUUAUCUGAAUGGUGCAUAUUGAUAAUGCUAAGUCCCUUAAUUGUUUUUGUAUUCAGUAAAGAAAGGAUUUGUUCCCAUAACAAGGAUGGAAAGUAUUUGCCAAAAAAAAACAAGGAUGGAAAGUAUAACAGCUUACAAAAACCAACGUGGACAACACAGAUCUGGAACUCGAGUAAAUCAUACUCACAAAUAAGUUUUUGAGAAGGUACGAGUCUAACUAAAUAUGCAUGUCGAUGCUAACUGUACUUCCAUGUGUCAAGCAUCUCAUUGUUAUACUAUUUGCAGAGACUUGGAAACCAGAGAAGAGGAGCGAAGAUCAAGACUAGAAUUUGAAAAAAAAAACAUGAUGGCAAAGUUUACAGAAUUGAGCCAACAGAUGGGAACCCAACAGGUGAUUACAUUCAUAUGCUUGCGACCUUGUAAGAUUUAUGUUGCUUAAUUGCAUUGCUAAAAGUGCACUUCUAUUUUCACGUGCUAACGAAGAGGAUUAACAAAGAAAAUAGUAUCCAAACUUGCAAAAAUACUCUUCUACAUCGAUCUACUCCUAAUAAGACUCCAGUUGCAAGGCCAACUGUUAUUUCUUCAAAUGCUCUCAUACAAGUUGCAACGAGGAAUUCUCGAAUGUUUAAAGCAAUGGAUCCAAAGAACUAGCUGGACUGGACUCUAGAUCAUGGACAGUUUAGUUUGGCACUUAAUUAGGAUGGCUAAAUUACAUCUGAGUUUCAUUUGAUGGAUAUUUGCUAUGAGAAUUAUGAAUUUAUGAAUGUACAUAUUAUAUGUAUGGUUUGGAAUAUUGUAAUUGAAUGCCUGUAUUUUUUUUUACGGUUGCA
Molecule: non-coding RNA, 1439 nt
Organism: Triticum urartu
Lineage: Eukaryota; Viridiplantae; Streptophyta; Magnoliopsida; Poales; Poaceae
Source: RefSeq, a predicted model, not a curated record